GAGACAGAAAAAGAAAAGUCCAAGCAGGCGUACCACACCCCAGCCCCAGCGAGUGGUACAGGCAGGCUGUUAAUAAUGGGAGAGAAGGCUGAGGUACUUAACAUUUCUGCCUCAUUCUUUAUUGUCAGCUGCUCUUCACCCACCCCUUGAGUGGCUGAAAGGUGAGGACUGCAUCCCUCCUGCUGAAAGCAAAGAUCAGGUCUGCAGACGCUUGAAGAACCUGGUGGGCCCCAAUGAAACACAUCCCAGAGCUUUGAGGGAAUUGGCAUACAUAGCUGCCAAGCCAUUCUUGUUGAUAUUCCAGAAGUCCAGGCACUUAAGUGAAAUCUAUGGUGGCUGGAAAGAGGGUGAUAUCAUGCUGAUUUUAAAGAAGGGUAUAAAGUAUGACUUAGGAAACUGCCAACCUGCCAGCCUCAGCUGUGUGCUGGAAGAUGUGGUGGAACCAAUCCUCCUGGAAGCCGUGCUGGGGCACAUGGAAGAGAAGUGAAAUGAGACAACCAACCUGCUUCAACAAGGGUGGAUCCCAUCUGAACAACCUACUGGCCUUUCUUUCUACAAUGGCAUGAAGGGACCAGGUAAGAGCUGCUGCUGUCAACUGUCUGGAUUUCAGUAAUGUUUUAACACUGUCCUCCACAAUUGCAGAGAUAUGUAUUUGACAGCCAGGUUGUUCAAUGAGAGGAAAACAAAUCAAUGUCUGGAAGCUGAUCAGUGAUGACUGGUGUUCCUCAGGGGUCAGUACUGGGACUAAUGCUCUUAAUACCUUCAUUAACAUCAACAGGAGGAUCAAUUAUAUCCUGACAAGUUUGAGGAUGACACCAUGGCAUCUGAUGCAGUCAGUGCAUUUGAGGGACAGGAUGCAAUCCAAAGAGACCCAGACAAGUUCAAGCAGUGAGCAAAGUAUUUGUCAUGUGUUAGAGCUCAGCCUCAAAGGUUACCUUGGAAGAAACCAGAGAGUUCUCAGUGAACUUAAAGGAAAGGAGGUUUGUUUUUCCCUGCAAGACAGUUGCUGCCACUCUGCUCUCCAGCCAGCUCACCUGCCUUUGAGCUCAGGAAGCUCAAAAAACUUCUAUCCAGAAGUACAGCUGCAAAGAUACAAACACUGGCAACACAGCGGGUGAUCUCAUUCAGUGUGUAAAGUAAGUCUGACGCUUAUGUGGUAAUGGAAUGUUGCUUCUGCAUUUGAUAUUAAAGUAGCAAUUGGUUUGAAGAAGUAGAACAUAAUGCAUUUGUAUUUUGUAACUUAUUCUUAGAAAUAGUUAAUCUAAGUACUAAAAUACAGUGUGUUAGUGGCAUGUUUUAGAAACAUUAUUUCUGAAUUACAUGAUUCUUUCUUGCAAGACUGUAAUAGUUGUUAAAUGUUCCAAACAAUGCAAGUAUAGCAUGCUAAGGAUUGGAAAACACAUUGUAGAGCUGUUCUGUUAAGAAA
This 1426-nucleotide long non-coding RNA is filed under the name Phasianus colchicus (ring-necked pheasant). RNAcentral describes it as "lncRNA (ENSPCLG00000013411.1)". Lineage: Eukaryota; Metazoa; Chordata; Aves; Galliformes; Phasianidae. The record is from RNAcentral.